This is a long non-coding RNA of Hippocampus comes (tiger tail seahorse), 708 nucleotides long. RefSeq lists it as uncharacterized. Lineage: Eukaryota; Metazoa; Chordata; Actinopteri; Syngnathiformes; Syngnathidae. The transcript is spliced from 3 exons. The record is from RefSeq and is a predicted model, not a curated record.
UUGUAAAGCAUAAGAUCUUUAGGACGACAUUACUUGUGCACAGGACAAUUCUUUUCCGACUGGACUUUGGGAUCCUGCCUGUGAAGAUCCCAAACAGAAGCAUGACGAAACUGCCCGGGUUUGAUAUCCUGCCACAGAGUGACACAGCUUUCUCUGCAGUUAUCCAGGGACCAUAUGGCUCUUAGCAAAGAGCAUAGCCUGCUACCCGUACCCCCUGCACCCCCUUGGGACACUUCCUUGUGCUCUUUCCGGAUCCACAAAAUGGCAGGCGAACCCCAUUAUGAUUCCCUCCAGAACUGUGUCACUAUUUUAACAAGCUGCGUUGUUCUGGAGCACUUCGUGACCGAGGCGGCUGAGCCCCACGAAAGGUGAGCGAUGAGCGAAAGCUUGGGUGGGCCGCUGGGAAAACCACAUGGUGCCGGCCUUCUGUUGGUUCUCCAUCUGCACUGGGAAGCACUGAGCUUCUAGAUUUAGCUCUUGCGACUUUUGCAAUGGCAACCUGUGACGUCAUAUUUUCGACUCCUUUGAUUGGUUGAUCGGAGCUGCUCAUUAAAACGAUGAUUCAUAAUUACAGUUUUUACAGGUCGGCCAAUAUUGUGACUGGGCCACUUGUAAAAGGAUUUCUUUGCCGCUCCCGAAGCAACGACAGCGAGCUUGGCUCUGGCUUCCCAGCACAACGAACGAAAGAGAAUGGAUGUCGUCUAUAAA